GUGCCAGCAGCCGCGGUAAUACGGCCGGUGCAAGCGUUGUUCGGAAUCACUGGGCGUAAAGCGCGUCUCCGCUGGAAAAUAAGUCAGGUGUGAAAGACCCUAGCUCAACUAGGGAAUUGCGCCUGAAACUAUGUUUCUUGAAUCAUGGACAGGUGGGUGGAAUUCCUGGUGUAGCAGUGAAAUGCGUAGAUAUCAGGAGGAACAUCGGAGGCGAAGGCGGCUCACUGGCCAUGUAUUGACGCUGAAGCGCGAAAGCGUGGGUAGCAAACAGGAUUAGAUACCCUGGUAGUCCACGCCGUAAACGAUGAGAACUAGGUGUUGGAGGAGUUGAUCCCUUCAGUGCCGUCGCAAACGCAUUAAGUUCUCCGCCUGGGGAGUACGGUCGCAAGAUUAAAACUCAAAGAAAUUGACGGGGGCCC
This 419-nucleotide ribosomal RNA is filed under the name uncultured marine bacterium. RNAcentral's name for it is "bacterial SSU rRNA". It matches the Rfam family "Bacterial small subunit ribosomal RNA", at positions 505 to 922 of the family's 1533-position model. The record is from RNAcentral.